AGAGUUUGAUCCUGGCUCAGGACGGAACGCUGGGCGGCGUGCCUAAUACAUGCAAGUAGAACGCUGAAGACUUUAGCUUGCUAGAGUUGGAAGAGUUGCGAACGGGUGAGUAACGCGUAGGUAACCUGCCUACUAGCGGGGGAUAACUAUUGGAAACGAUAGCUAAUACCCGCAUAAUAGUGUUUAACACAUGUUAGAGACUUGAAAGAUGCAAUUGCAUCACUAGUAGAUGGACCUGCGUUGUAUUAGCUAGGUUGGUGGGGUAACGGCCUACCAAGGCGCACGAAUACAUAGCCGACCUGAGAGGGUGAUCGGCCACACUGGGACUGAGACACGGCCCAGACUCUACGGGAGGCAGCAGUAGGGAAUCUUCGGCAAUGGGGGCAACCCUGACCGAGCAACGCCGCGUGAGUGAAGAAGGUUUUCGGAUCGUAAAGCUCUGUUGUAAGAGAAGAACGUGUGUGAGAGUGGAAAGUUCACACAGUGACGGUAACUUACCAGAAAGGGACGGCUAAUACGUGCCAGCAGCCGCGGUAAU
RNAcentral lists this ribosomal RNA (538 nucleotides) under Streptococcus sp. W32. RNAcentral's name for it is "bacterial SSU rRNA". It matches the Rfam family "Bacterial small subunit ribosomal RNA", at positions 8 to 524 of the family's 1533-position model. The record is from RNAcentral. Lineage: Bacteria; Bacillati; Bacillota; Bacilli; Lactobacillales; Streptococcaceae.